GGCNGAGAGUGCUACCAUGCAGUCGACGGUGAAGCAGAGCUUGCUCUGUGGAUCAGUGGCGAACGGGUGAGUAACACGUGAGCAACCUGCCCCGGACUCUGGGAUAAGCGCUGGAAACGGCGUCUAAUACUGGAUACGAGCUGCGACCGCAUGGUCAGCAGUUGGAAAGAUUUUUCGGUCUGGGAUGGGCUCACGGCCUAUCAGCUUGUUGGUGAGGUAAUGGCUCACCAAGGCGUCGACGGGUAGCCGGCCUGAGAGGGUGACCGGCCACACUGGGACUGAGACACGGCCCAGACUCCUACGGGAGGCAGCAGUGGGGAAUAUUGCACAAUGGGCGAAAGCCUGAUGCAGCAACGCCGCGUGAGGGAUGACGGCCUUCGGGUUGUAAACCUCUUUUAGCAGGGAAGAAGCGAGAGUGACGGUACCUGCAGAAAAAGCGCCGGCUAACUACGUGCCAGCAGCCGCGGUAAUACGUAGGGCGCAAGCGUUAUCCGGAAUUAUUGGGCGUAAAGAGCUCGUAGGCGGUUUGUCGCGUCUGCUGUGAAAUCCCGAGGCUCAACCUCGGGCCUGCAGUGGGUACGGGCAGACUAGAGUGCGGUAGGGGAGAUUGGAAUUCCUGGUGUAGCGGUGGAAUGCGCAGAUAUCAGGAGGAACACCGAUGGCGAAGGCAGAUCUCUGGGCCGUAACUGACGCUGAGGAGCGAAAGGGUGGGGAGCAAACAGGCUUAGAUACCCUGGUAGUCCACCCCGUAAACGUUGGGAACUAGUUGUGGGGUCCAUUCCACGGAUUCCGUGACGCAGCUAACGCAUUAAGUUCCCCGCCUGGGGGAGUACGGCCGCAAGGCUAAAACUCAAAGGAAUUGACGGGGACCCGCACAAGCGGCGGAGCAUGCGGAUUAAUUCGAUGCAACGCGAAGAACCUUACCAAGGCUUGACAUAUACGAGACGGGCCAGAAAUGGUCAACUCUUUGGACACUCGUAAACAGGUGGUGCAUGGUUGUCGUCAGCUCGUGUCGUGAGAUGUUGGUUUAGUCCCGCAACGAGCGCAACCUCGUUCUAUGUUGCCAGCAACGUAUUGUGGGAACUCAUGGGAUACUGCCGAGUUCACUCGGGAGAANGUCGGAUGACGUCAAAUCAUCAUGCCCUAAUGUCUGGCUCCCGCAUGGCUCAAUGCCGUACAAGGCUGCAAUACCGCGAGGUGGAGCGAAUCCAANAACCCGUUCCGCAGUCUGCGA
Molecule: ribosomal RNA, 1234 nt
Filed under: Actinomycetota bacterium
Lineage: Bacteria; Bacillati; Actinomycetota
Description: bacterial SSU rRNA
Rfam family: Bacterial small subunit ribosomal RNA
Source: RNAcentral